Molecule: ribosomal RNA, 468 nt
Filed under: uncultured bacterium
Lineage: Bacteria
Description: partial 16S ribosomal RNA
Rfam family: Bacterial small subunit ribosomal RNA
Source: RNAcentral
GACGAACGCUGGCGGCGUGCUUAACACAUGCAAGUCGAACGGAAAGGCCCUGCUUUUGUGGGGUGCUCGAGUGGCGAACGGGUGAGUAACACGUGAGUAACCUGCCCUUGACUUUGGGAUAACAUCAGGAAACUGGGGCUAAUACCGGAUAGGAGCUCCUGCUGCAUGGUGGGGGUUGGAAAGUUUCGGCGGUUGGGGAUGGUCUCGCGGCUUAUCAGCUUGUUGGUGGGGUAGUGGCUUACCAAGGCUUUGACGGGUAGCCGGCCUGAGAGGGUGACCGGCCACAUUGGGACUGAGAUACGGCCCAGACUCCUACGGGAGGCAGCAGUGGGGAAUAUUGCACAAUGGGCGGAAGCCUGAUGCAGCAACGCCGCGUGCGGGAUGACGGCCUUCGGGUUGUAAACCGCUUUCGCCUGUGACGAAGCGUGAGUGACGGUAAUGGGUAAAGAAGCACCGGCUAACUACGUG